Molecule: ribosomal RNA, 253 nt
Filed under: uncultured bacterium
Lineage: Bacteria
Description: partial 16S ribosomal RNA
Rfam family: Bacterial small subunit ribosomal RNA
Source: RNAcentral
UACGUAGGGGGCGAGCGUUGUCCGGAGUUACUGGGCGUAAAGCGCACGCAGGCGGUCUGCUAAGUUUGGAGUGACAGUUGGUGGCUUAACUGCCAUAGUGCUUCGAAAACUGACAGACUUGAGGGCUUCAGAGGGACACGGAAUUCCGGGUGGAGUGGUGAAAUGCGUAGAGAUCCGGAGGAACACCAAAGGCGAAGGCAGUGUCCUGGGGAGUACCUGACGCUCAGGUGCGAAAGCCAGGGGAGCGAACGGG